AUGUGUCAUACUCUUCUACAACAAAUAGAAAUAUCUACCUUGUGGACUGGAAGAAUGGAUUUGAGCUACUUAAUAAGCUUGAGGCAAAACCCUUUUUGGAUACAAGCAAAUAAGCAUUCUGAGGAAAUGUCAAAGGACUUCACUCAAGAAUUAGGGGCAGUAUUCUAUUUGACUGGAUACUUGCAUUCAUGGAGAAAUUAACUGAUGUGAGUGGAGCUGUGCCUACUUGCAAUGAGUCAAUCUAAGCAGAUUUGAUCACAGAUACAUUUUAUGCACUUUAAUUGAAGAUAUGUAUGGUUUAAACUAAAAUCUCAUCAGUAGUGUGAGCAUGCAGAUCACGAUUUCUGUGGCUGUCUUUUUCUCUCCUUACUGUAGCUACUGGAUGUAUGUAUGGGCUUUGUGUUUUCCUUUGUCAGUAAAAAAUAUAAGGGUUCCUUUGAAGGAGUAGACAUCUCUUCAGUAUUGUAUGCUGGAAGUAAAUGCAUGAAGUGAACCUCGAU
Molecule: long non-coding RNA, 500 nt
Filed under: Cyanistes caeruleus (blue tit)
Lineage: Eukaryota; Metazoa; Chordata; Aves; Passeriformes; Paridae
Description: lncRNA (ENSCCEG00000001031.1)
Source: RNAcentral